This 72-nucleotide transfer RNA is filed under the name Camelus bactrianus (Bactrian camel). It matches the Rfam family "tRNA". From Rfam's summary of the family: Transfer RNA (tRNA) molecules are approximately 80 nucleotides in length. Their secondary structure includes four short double-helical elements and three loops (D, anti-codon, and T loops). RNAcentral also lists the same sequence under 2 other names. Lineage: Eukaryota; Metazoa; Chordata; Mammalia; Artiodactyla; Camelidae. The record is from Rfam by way of RNAcentral.
GAAGGUACAGCUCAGUGGUAGAGCACAUGCUUAGCCUGCACGAGGUCCUGGGUUCAAUCCCCAGUACCUCCA